RNAcentral lists this long non-coding RNA (711 nucleotides) under Medicago truncatula (barrel medic). Its description in RNAcentral is "lncRNA gene5612". The record is from RNAcentral. Lineage: Eukaryota; Viridiplantae; Streptophyta; Magnoliopsida; Fabales; Fabaceae.
CAAAUAUCAUUUUAUUUUUAUUAUUAUUACAUCACAUUUCACGUGCACCAAAGGAACAGUUGCUCGUGAGUCACGAUACGAUAUUUAAAAAAAUGGCGUGAGCCUUACCUGAGCAAAGAUUCAUUGAGAAAGAAUUGGGGUCACCUUUGUUGAAGCAUUCCGGUCAGGAAGGUACACCAUGUGGGGUAGUAUUGCCAGCUAUUUUAGCCCAAUUUUCAUGGAAAAAAUAAUCCUCACGUUUUGUUCCCUUUAUAGUUGUCAAGGUCUACCCUUUCUUGGAAAUAAAGCUUGUUUUUCCAAGAUUUGAUUAUGCCCUUUAUUUAAUUCUUACAUUUCUCAGAGUCUUUGAAGAAUGUAGGGACAUAUGCUUCCCUUUGAGUCUUUGACAACAUUAAUUGACUUUAGAUGGAUAAGAACUCCAACUCGUUGCUGAGUAUAAUCUUACAUUUAAAAAAAUAAUAAUAUGCAUAAUGCAUGGUUAUUUUUCUAAUUUUUCAUUGACAAUUGUCCUUUAAAUUAAACUUAAUUAGUUAUCAAGGAAGGGGGAACAUGGAGAAUGAAACAUUCGUAUGUAUGCAUGUUUCAAAGAAAUAUAUGAUAACCGUAUUUGUGACAGAAACACAGUCGAAUGAUACAAAAAAUAAUUGCUUUAAUUAUUAAAUUUAUAUCGAAUAAAAAGUAUUGCAAGCAACCAAAAAAAAGUAUUGCAAG